AUUGAACGCUGGCGGCAGGCUUAACACAUGCAAGUCGAGCGGGGGAAGGUAGCUUGCUACCGGACCUAGCGGCGGACGGGUGAGUAAUGCUUAGGAAUCUGCCUAUUAGUGGGGGACAACAUCUCGAAAGGGAUGCUAAUACCGCAUACGUCCUACGGGAGAAAGCAGGGGAUCUUCGGACCUUGCGCUAAUAGAUGAGCCUAAGUCGGAGUAGCUAGUUGGUGGGGUAAAGGCCUACCAAGGCGACGAUCUGUAGAGGGUCUGAGAGGAUGAUCCGCCACACUGGGACUGGGAAACGGCCCAGACUCCUACGGGAGGCAGCAGGGGGGAAUAUUGGGCAAUGGGGGGAACCCUGAUCCAGCCAUGCCGCGUGUGUGAAGAAGGCCUUAUGGUUGUAAAGCACUUUAAGCGAGGAGGAGGCUACUUUAGUUAAUACCUAGAGAUAGUGGACGUUACUCGCAGAAUAAGCACCGGCUAACUCUGUGCCAGCCGCCGCAGUAA
This 501-nucleotide ribosomal RNA is filed under the name uncultured bacterium. Its description in RNAcentral is "partial 16S ribosomal RNA". It matches the Rfam family "Bacterial small subunit ribosomal RNA", at positions 30 to 523 of the family's 1533-position model. The record is from RNAcentral.